Molecule: ribosomal RNA, 2882 nt
Filed under: Klebsiella pneumoniae
Lineage: Bacteria; Pseudomonadati; Pseudomonadota; Gammaproteobacteria; Enterobacterales; Enterobacteriaceae
Description: bacterial LSU rRNA
Rfam family: Bacterial large subunit ribosomal RNA
Source: RNAcentral
CUGGCAGUCAGAGGCGAUGAAGGACGUGCUAAUCUGCGAAAAGCGUCGGUAAGGUGAUAUGAACCGUUAUAACCGGCGAUGUCCGAAUGGGGAAACCCAGUGCAAUUCGUUGCACUAUCGUUAACUGAAUACAUAGGUUAACGAGGCGAACCGGGGGAACUGAAACAUCUAAGUACCCCGAGGAAAAGAAAUCAACCGAGAUUCCCCCAGUAGCGGCGAGCGAACGGGGAGCAGCCCAGAGUCUGAAUCAGCUUGUGUGUUAGUGGAACGGUCUGGAAAGUCCGACGGUACAGGGUGAUAGUCCCGUACACCAAAAUGCACAGGCUGUGAACUCGAAGAGUAGGGCGGGACACGUGGUAUCCUGUCUGAAUAUGGGGGGACCAUCCUCCAAGGCUAAAUACUCCUGACUGACCGAUAGUGAACCAGUACCGUGAGGGAAAGGCGAAAAGAACCCCGGCGAGGGGAGUGAAAAAGAACCUGAAACCGUGUACGUACAAGCAGUGGGAGCACCUUCGGGUGUGACUGCGUACCUUUUGUAUAAUGGGUCAGCGACUUAUAUUCUGUAGCAAGGUUAACCGUAUAGGGGAGCCGCAGGGAAACCGAGUCUUAACUGGGCGUUAAGUUGCAGGGUAUAGACCCGAAACCCGGUGAUCUAGCCAUGGGCAGGUUGAAGGUUGGGUAACACUAACUGGAGGACCGAACCGACUAAUGUUGAAAAAUUAGCGGAUGACUUGUGGCUGGGGGUGAAAGGCCAAUCAAACCGGGAGAUAGCUGGUUCUCCCCGAAAGCUAUUUAGGUAGCGCCUCGUGAACUCAUCUUCGGGGGUAGAGCACUGUUUCGGCUAGGGGGUCAUCCCGACUUACCAACCCGAUGCAAACUACGAAUACCGAAGAAUGUUAUCACGGGAGACACACGGCGGGUGCUAACGUCCGUCGUGAAGAGGGAAACAACCCAGACCGCCAGCUAAGGUCCCAAAGUCAUGGUUAAGUGGGAAACGAUGUGGGAAGGCACAGACAGCCAGGAUGUUGGCUUAGAAGCAGCCAUCAUUUAAAGAAAGCGUAAUAGCUCACUGGUCGAGUCGGCCUGCGCGGAAGAUGUAACGGGGCUAAACCAUGCACCGAAGCUGCGGCAGCGACACUAUGUGUUGUUGGGUAGGGGAGCGUUCUGUAAGCCUGCGAAGGUGUGCUGUGAGGCAUGCUGGAGGUAUCAGAAGUGCGAAUGCUGACAUAAGUAACGAUAAAGCGGGUGAAAAGCCCGCUCGCCGGAAGACCAAGGGUUCCUGUCCAACGUUAAUCGGGGCAGGGUGAGUCGACCCCUAAGGCGAGGCCGAAAGGCGUAGUCGAUGGGAAACAGGUUAAUAUUCCUGUACUUGGUGUUACUGCGAAGGGGGGACGGAGAAGGCUAUGUUAGCCGGGCGACGGUUGUCCCGGUUUAAGCAUGUAGGCUGAUUGUCCAGGCAAAUCCGGAUAAUCAAGGCUGAGGUGUGAUGACGAGGCACUACGGUGCUGAAGUAACAAAUGCCCUGCUUCCAGGAAAAGCCUCUAAGCAUCAGGUAACAUUAAAUCGUACCCCAAACCGACACAGGUGGUCAGGUAGAGAAUACCAAGGCGCUUGAGAGAACUCGGGUGAAGGAACUAGGCAAAAUGGUGCCGUAACUUCGGGAGAAGGCACGCUGGUGUGUAGGUGAAGUCCCUGCGGAUGGAGCUGAGACCAGUCGAAGAUACCAGCUGGCUGCAACUGUUUAUUAAAAACACAGCACUGUGCAAACACGAAAGUGGACGUAUACGGUGUGACGCCUGCCCGGUGCCGGAAGGUUAAUUGAUGGGGUUAUCCGUAAGGAGAAGCUCUUGAUCGAAGCCCCGGUAAACGGCGGCCGUAACUAUAACGGUCCUAAGGUAGCGAAAUUCCUUGUCGGGUAAGUUCCGACCUGCACGAAUGGCGUAAUGAUGGCCAGGCUGUCUCCACCCGAGACUCAGUGAAAUUGAACUCGCUGUGAAGAUGCAGUGUACCCGCGGCAAGACGGAAAGACCCCGUGAACCUUUACUAUAGCUUGACACUGAACAUUGAGCCUUGAUGUGUAGGAUAGGUGGGAGGCUUUGAAGCGUGGACGCCAGUCUGCGUGGAGCCAACCUUGAAAUACCACCCUUUAAUGUUUGAUGUUCUAACGUUGGCCCCUUACCGGGGUUGCGGACAGUGUCUGGUGGGUAGUUUGACUGGGGCGGUCUCCUCCCAAAGCGUAACGGAGGAGCACGAAGGUUAGCUAAUCCUGGUCGGACAUCAGGAGGUUAGUGCAAUGGCAUAAGCUAGCUUGACUGCGAGCGUGACGGCGCGAGCAGGUGCGAAAGCAGGUCAUAGUGAUCCGGUGGUUCUGAAUGGAAGGGCCAUCGCUCAACGGAUAAAAGGUACUCCGGGGAUAACAGGCUGAUACCGCCCAAGAGUUCAUAUCGACGGCGGUGUUUGGCACCUCGAUGUCGGCUCAUCACAUCCUGGGGCUGAAGUAGGUCCCAAGGGUAUGGCUGUUCGCCAUUUAAAGUGGUACGCGAGCUGGGUUUAGAACGUCGUGAGACAGUUCGGUCCCUAUCUGCCGUGGGCGCUGGAGAAUUGAGGGGGGCUGCUCCUAGUACGAGAGGACCGGAGUGGACGCAUCACUGGUGUUCGGGUUGUCAUGCCAAUGGCACUGCCCGGUAGCUAAAUGCGGAAGAGAUAAGUGCUGAAAGCAUCUAAGCACGAAACUUGCCCCGAGAUGAGUUCUCCCUGAGACUUUAAGUCUCCUGAAGGAACGUUGAAGACGACGACGUUGAUAGGCCGGGUGUGUAAGCGCAGCGAUGCGUUGAGCUAACCGGUACUAAUGAACCGUGAGGCUUAACCUUACAACGCCGAAG